Molecule: ribosomal RNA, 497 nt
Filed under: uncultured bacterium
Lineage: Bacteria
Description: partial 16S ribosomal RNA
Rfam family: Bacterial small subunit ribosomal RNA
Source: RNAcentral
GAUGAACGCUGGCGGCGUGCCUAAUACAUGCAAGUCGAGCGAACAGAUAAGGAGCUUGCUCCUUUGACGUUAGCGGCGGACGGGUGAGUAACACGUGGAUAACCUACCUAUAAGACUGGGAUAACUUCGGGAAACCGGAGCUAAUACCGGAUAACAUAUUGAACCGCAUGGUUCAAUAGUGAAAGGCGGCUUUGCUGUCACUUAUAGAUGGAUCCGCGCCGUAUUAGCUAGUUGGUAAGGUAACGGCUUACCAAGGCAACGAUACGUAGCCGACCUGAGAGGGUGGUCGGCCACACUGGAACUGAGACACGGUCCAGACUCCUACGGGAGGCAGCAGUAGGGAAUCUUCCGCAAUGGGCGAAAGCCUGACGGAGCAACGCCGCGUGAGUGAUGAAGGUCUUCGGAUCGUAAAGCUCUGUUAUCAGGGAAGAACAAAUGUGUAAGUAACUGUGCACAUCUUGACGGUACCUGGUCAGAAAGCCACGGCUAACUACGUG